Molecule: unclassified non-coding RNA, 358 nt
Filed under: Hevea brasiliensis (rubber tree)
Lineage: Eukaryota; Viridiplantae; Streptophyta; Magnoliopsida; Malpighiales; Euphorbiaceae
Source: RNAcentral
CAAGAUUAAAAAAAUGUGCAAGUUGCCAUUUAAUUUCAUUUUUUAAAUGAACAAAACCAUGAGAUGAGAAGCUCUGGACCUUUCGUUAUUGGAGGAACUGCCAAUGAUGGCGGUGCAUUUUGGACGCUUCUGUUGAGACCUCCUCCAAUCUCCUCUUCCCGAUUCAAUCGUUAAAUCCAACUCCGCUCUUCUCGGUGAUCUUUUGACCUUCCUUUACCGGUCACGAUUUUCUUCUUUUUACGGUGAACACUGAUUAUAUGACCGUCAACGGCAAUGCGUUUAGCAAGAUGGAAGACGAUUACAUCAGAAGGCACCAUAAGCACGACGUUAAAGACCACCAGUGUAGCUCCUCUCUCGU